AGAUAGUUAGUUUAAGAAAAACACUUGAUUUCGGCUCAAGAGCUUGUGGUUAAAGCCCAUAACUGCCUA
RNAcentral lists this transfer RNA (69 nucleotides) under Brama japonica. RNAcentral's name for it is "tRNA-Arg". It matches the Rfam family "tRNA". Rfam says of the family: Transfer RNA (tRNA) molecules are approximately 80 nucleotides in length. Their secondary structure includes four short double-helical elements and three loops (D, anti-codon, and T loops). Further hydrogen bonds mediate the characteristic L-shaped molecular structure. tRNAs have two regions of fundamental functional importance: the anti-codon, which is responsible for specific mRNA codon recognition, and the 3' end, to which the tRNAs corresponding amino acid is attached (by aminoacyl-tRNA synthetases). tRNAs cope with the degeneracy of the genetic code in two manners: having more than one tRNA (with a specific anti-codon) for a particular amino acid; and 'wobble' base-pairing, i.e. permitting non-standard base-pairing at the 3rd anti-codon position. Lineage: Eukaryota; Metazoa; Chordata; Actinopteri; Scombriformes; Bramidae. RNAcentral also lists the same sequence under 3 other names. The record is from RNAcentral.